CAUUGGAUAGCUCAGUGGUAGAGCAACGAACUUGUAAUUCGUCUGACGCGGGUUCGAAUCCCGUUCCAACAU
Molecule: transfer RNA, 72 nt
Filed under: Ottowia oryzae
Lineage: Bacteria; Pseudomonadati; Pseudomonadota; Betaproteobacteria; Burkholderiales; Comamonadaceae
Rfam family: tRNA
About the family: Transfer RNA (tRNA) molecules are approximately 80 nucleotides in length. Their secondary structure includes four short double-helical elements and three loops (D, anti-codon, and T loops). Further hydrogen bonds mediate the characteristic L-shaped molecular structure. tRNAs have two regions of fundamental functional importance: the anti-codon, which is responsible for specific mRNA codon recognition, and the 3' end, to which the tRNAs corresponding amino acid is attached (by aminoacyl-tRNA synthetases). tRNAs cope with the degeneracy of the genetic code in two manners: having more than one tRNA (with a specific anti-codon) for a particular amino acid; and 'wobble' base-pairing, i.e. permitting non-standard base-pairing at the 3rd anti-codon position.
Source: Rfam by way of RNAcentral